Molecule: ribosomal RNA, 1172 nt
Filed under: Escherichia coli
Lineage: Bacteria; Pseudomonadati; Pseudomonadota; Gammaproteobacteria; Enterobacterales; Enterobacteriaceae
Description: partial 23S ribosomal RNA
Rfam family: Bacterial large subunit ribosomal RNA
Source: RNAcentral
GGUUAAGCGACUAAGCGUACACGGUGGAUGCCCUGGCAGUCAGAGGCGAUGAAGGACGUGCUAAUCUGCGAUAAGCGUCGGUAAGGUGAUAUGAACCGUUAUAACCGGCGAUUUCCGAAUGGGGAAACCCAGUGUGAUUCGUCACACUAUCAUUAACUGAAUCCAUAGGUUAAUGAGGCGAACCGGGGGAACUGAAACAUCUAAGUACCCCGAGGAAAAGAAAUCAACCGAGAUUCCCCCAGUAGCGGCGAGCGAACGGGGAGCAGCCCAGAGCCUGAAUCAGUGUGUGUGUUAGUGGAAGCGUCUGGAAAGGCGUGCGAUACAGGGUGACAGCCCCGUACACAAAAAUGCACAUGCUGUGAGCUCGAUGAGUAGGGCGGGACACGUGGUAUCCUGUCUGAAUAUGGGGGGACCAUCCUCCAAGGCUAAAUACUCCUGACUGACCGAUAGUGAACCAGUACCGUGAGGGAAAGGCGAAAAGAACCCCGGCGAGGGGAGUGAAAAAGAACCUGAAACCGUGUACGUACAAGCAGUGGGAGCACAGAGCAAUCUGUGUGACUGCGUACCUUUUGUAUAAUGGGUCAGCGACUUAUAUUCUGUAGCAAGGUUAACCGAAUAGGGGAGCCGAAGGGAAACCGAGUCUUAACUGGGCGUUAAGUUGCAGGGUAUAGACCCGAAACCCGGUGAUCUAGCCAUGGGCAGGUUGAAGGUUGGGUAACACUAACUGGAGGACCGAACCGACUAAUGUUGAAAAAUUAGCGGAUGACUUGUGGCUGGGGGUGAAAGGCCAAUCAAACCGGGAGAUAGCUGGUUCUCCCCGAAAGCUAUUUAGGUAGCGCCUCGUGAAUUCAUCUCCGGGGGUAGAGCACUGUUUCGGCAAGGGGGUCAUCCCGACUUACCAACCCGAUGCAAACUGCGAAUACCGGAGAAUGUUAUCACGGGAGACACACGGCGGGUGCUAACGUCCGUCGUGAAGAGGGAAACAACCCAGACCGCCAGCUAAGGUCCCAAAGUCAUGGUUAAGUGGGAAACGAUGUGGGAAGGCCCAGACAGCCAGGAUGUUGGCUUAGAAGCAGCCAUCAUUUAAAGAAAGCGUAAUAGCUCACUGGUCGAGUCGGCCUGCGCGGAAGAUGUAACGGGGCUAAACCAUGCACCGAAGCUGCGGCAGCGAC